This is a long non-coding RNA of Leopardus geoffroyi (Geoffroy's cat), 815 nucleotides long. RefSeq lists it as uncharacterized. The transcript has 3 exons. The record is from RefSeq and is a predicted model, not a curated record. NCBI's taxonomy places the organism in Eukaryota, Metazoa, Chordata, Mammalia, Carnivora, Felidae.
CCUGCCAGCUGAUUACAGAGGAACGAAUGAGCUCAAAGAAAAUAAAGUGAGCCUGGUGUGGAUUAUCAGAACCUUCUAGUUGAUACGAAUAAUUGGAAAUACAUAGGACAUGGAAAGCUGACUUGACUUCUGCACAUAUUGCAAGCCCAGCUGCAUUUGGUAAGAACUCUUGAAAAGAUGGAACACAAUAACUUGCAGAAAAACAAAAUAAAAAACAAAAAACAACAAAAAUGAGGAGGAGGGGAGCAAACUGGAAGAGGAGGAGGAAGGAAGAAGGGGUAAAGAAAUAGGCCUAAAGAACCAAGAGGAUUGGUAUUUUGAAAGUUCUGUGAAAUUGUUGUGUGAAUUUUAGGGGAAAAAGAAUAUGCUUAUGUGAGUAAACUCUCUUAGUAAACUUGGCCCAGGUUUUAAAACUUUGUAGUAAAUACACUGCAGAAAAUGCCUUCACUACUUUCUACUUUUUUCUGGCAACUUGCUCUUAUCUAAGUUUCUUGUUCACUGCUAUUACUAAUUUAUGAAGCUGAACCAUCAAACAUCCUUGCCUAAUGUAUCUCCAGGGAGGUCUCAUUGUUUUUCAAGUUCACUGUGACACUUUUAACCUCUUACUCAUUAUGUUCUCUUACCCUGUCUUAGUCUUAAAUUUAGUUUAUCAACUAACUCUGUCUAAUCCUUACCUGUUUUGGAUUUAGAGUCCUCCUUAUGAUGCACAUAUUUAAUACUUGAUAAUUUGCAUUGUUCUUUAUUUUGUUUUACCAAAAAUACACCACAUCCAAUAUCCUAUAAUUUCAGCCACUUCAUAAGGCUUUACUAUAUGC